RNAcentral lists this ribosomal RNA (468 nucleotides) under uncultured bacterium. RNAcentral's name for it is "partial 16S ribosomal RNA". It matches the Rfam family "Bacterial small subunit ribosomal RNA", at positions 28 to 507 of the family's 1533-position model. The record is from RNAcentral.
GACGAACGCUGGCGGCGUGCUUAACACAUGCAAGUCGAACGGAAAGGCCCUGCUUUUGUGGGGUGCUCGAGUGGCGAACGGGUGAGUAACACGUGAGUAACCUUCCCUGGACUUUGGGAUAACUUCAGGAAACUGGGGCUAAUACCGGAUAGGAGCUCCUGCUGCAUGGUGGGGGUUGGAAAGUUUCGGCGGUUGGGGAUGGACUCGGGGCUUAUCAGCUUGUUGGUGGGGUAGUGGCUUACCAAGGCUUUGACGGGUAGCCGGCCUGGGAGGGUGACCGGCCACAUUGGGACUGAGAUACGGCCCAGACUCCUACGGGAGGCAGCAGUGGGGAAUAUUGCACAAUGGGCGGAAGCCUGAUGCAGCAACGCCGCGUGCGGGAUGACGGCCUUCGGGUUGUAAACCGCUUUCGCCUGUGACGAAGCGUGAGUGACGGUAAUGGGUAAAGAAGCACCGGCUAACUACGUG